CCUACGGGAGGCAGCAGUGGGGAAUAUUGCGCAAUGGGGGAAACCCUGACGCAGCAACGCCGCGUGAGUGAUGAAGGCCUUCGGGUUGUAAAGCUCUUUCGGCAGGAACGAAACGGCGGACUCUAACAUAGUCUGUCAAUGACGGUACCUGAAGAAGAAGCACCGGCUAACUACGUGCCAGCAGCCGCGGUAAUACGUAGGGUGCGAGCGUUAAUCGGAAUUACUGGGCGUAAAGCGUGCGCAGGCGGCUUUGUAAGACGGAUGUGAAAUCCCUGGGCUUAACCUAGGAACUGCGUUCGUGACUGCAAAGCUAGAGUGCGGCAGAGGGGGGUGGAAUUCCUGGUGUAGCAGUGAAAUGCGUAGAGAUCAGGAGGAACACCGAUGGCGAAGGCAGCCCCCUGGGUUGGCACUGACGCUCAGGCACGAAAGCGUGGGGAGCAAACAGGAUUAGAUACCCCUGUAGU
RNAcentral lists this ribosomal RNA (464 nucleotides) under uncultured Rhodocyclaceae bacterium. RNAcentral describes it as "partial 16S ribosomal RNA". It matches the Rfam family "Bacterial small subunit ribosomal RNA", at positions 338 to 794 of the family's 1533-position model. Lineage: Bacteria; Pseudomonadati; Pseudomonadota; Betaproteobacteria; Rhodocyclales; Rhodocyclaceae. The record is from RNAcentral.